RNAcentral lists this ribosomal RNA (628 nucleotides) under uncultured bacterium. RNAcentral's name for it is "bacterial SSU rRNA". It matches the Rfam family "Archaeal small subunit ribosomal RNA", at positions 690 to 1320 of the family's 1478-position model. The record is from RNAcentral.
UCUGACGGUAAGGAACGAAGGCUAGGGUACAAACCGGAUUAGAUACCCGGGUAGUCCUAGCUGUAAACAUUGCCCAUUUGAUGUUGCUUUUCCGUUGAGGGAAGGCAGUGUCGGAGCGAAGGUGUUAAAUGGGCCGCUUGGGAAGUAUGGUCGCAAGACUGAAACUUAAAGGAAUUGGCGGGGGAGCACCGCAACGGGAGGAAUGUGCGGUUUAAUUGGAUUCAACGCCGGAAAACUCACCGGGAACGACCUGUGCAUGAGAGUCAACCUGACGAGCUUACUCGAUAGCAGGAGAGGUGGUGCAUGGCCGUCGUCAGCUCGUACCGUAGGGCGUUCACUUAAGUGUGAUAACGAGCGAGACCCACAUCUUUAAUUGCAAAUGUAUAUGAGAAUAUGCAUGCACUUUAGAGAAACCGCCAGCGCUAAGCUGGAGGAAGGAGUGGUCGACGGCAGGUCAGUACGCCCCGAAUUUCCCGGGCUACACGCGCAUUACAAAGAACGGGACAAUACGUUGCAACCUCGAAAGAGGAAGCUAAUCGCGAAACCCGUCCAUAGUUAGGAUUGAGGGCUGUAACUCGCCCUCAUGAAUCUGGAUUCCGUAGUAAUCGCGGGUCAACAACCCGCGGUG